UACGGGGGGGGCAAGCGUUGUUCGGAAUUACUGGGCGUAAAGGGCUCGUAGGUGGCCAACUAAGUCAGACGUGAAAUCCCUCGGCUUAACCGGGGAACUGCGCCUGAUACUGGAUGGCUUGAGUUUGGGAGAGGGACGCGGAAUUCCAGGUGUAGCGGUGAAAUGCGUAGAUAUCUGGAGGAACACCGGUGGCGAAGGCGGCGUCCUGGACCAAUACUGACACUGAUGAGCGAAAGCCAGGGGAGCAAACGGG
RNAcentral lists this ribosomal RNA (253 nucleotides) under uncultured bacterium. RNAcentral's name for it is "partial 16S ribosomal RNA". It matches the Rfam family "Bacterial small subunit ribosomal RNA", at positions 524 to 776 of the family's 1533-position model. The record is from RNAcentral.